RNAcentral lists this long non-coding RNA (2857 nucleotides) under Aquilegia coerulea. Its description in RNAcentral is "long non-coding RNA (ACOE_LNC001506)". Lineage: Eukaryota; Viridiplantae; Streptophyta; Magnoliopsida; Ranunculales; Ranunculaceae. The record is from RNAcentral.
UGUGUGAACCAAUAAUAAUAUAGAUUAAUUCGAAGGUAAAAGAAGAACAAUCACCCAGAACUAGAACUAGAAUCAAAGCAAUAAAAACAAAUUUGUGAAAAAAUAUCACACAUACAUUUUGCAAUGGGCCUCCAUAAAUGUUUUCUCAGCUAUUAUGCCGAACUUUGUAUUUACUAUUUAGCAAAGCCCAUAAAUUAUUUUGGCAAGGGUUUCCAAAAAUAGAAGUCUUUAUAAACUGUCACAGAUAUACAUCUUGGCUAUGGCAGUUAAUGAUGCAGCACAGCAGCUCAUGAAAAUGCUGAACGUGUUUGAUGUCUGCUACUGCCUUUCCAUCAACAGAUUGUUGGGACUUCGGCACGCCGGCAAAGUACAUCUACACAGUCAACAGUUUUGGCACACAAGUUAAUUAUUGAGAGGAAAAACAAGAAGCCAUGGUUACACAAGGAAACAUGGCAGAAUAAUUAUAUUGUACCUUUGUGGUGAGUGACCGAGUGUUUCUGCUUAUCUUUGCAAUGCACCUUCAACUGGAAAUUUUCAAAUAUUGCUGAUGAAUUUGUUCAAAGUCAUUUUUCUUUUCAAGCCAACACAUACACUACAUACAAAGAGGAACAAAGAUAGUAAUGGCAAAAUCCAUUAAACUACGUACCUCCUUACUAGAGUGCGACACUGAUGGGAGCUUACAACUGGCUUAGAGACAACUCUACUUGCAACCAUUUACCAAUGACUUCCUCUGGUUGGCUUCCAUACAACUUCCUCCAGCGCAUCUCAUGCCACAGCAAACUUUUCACUCCUGCACCUGCAAAAGAUUAGAGAAUGACUUGAUAAACAAAUGCUAUGAUAUUACUCUGAUAUUUGGUAUGGAAUAGCAUCACACGCUUCCUCAUCAAUCCACACAACAUAUUAAAAGUACAAGGAUAUUAUCAGAUCGUCACACAAACUUCAAAUACACAAUGUACCUUUAGAUAUAGAAACUAGAUAUACCUAGCCUACUUGAUCUAUCAGCAUGCUCCAGUGAAAGCUAGUCGGCGAAAAAAUAUUUUAAGACAUGCUAAUCCUACAGAUGACAGGUCGGCUACACACACAAAAAAGGAUUAAAUUCACCAUUUUCAGCUAGGACGAACAAUUUUGGGAAAUCCUAGAGCUGGGGUAUACAAUCGAUUCCGUUACAAACCAAUCAACUCUCCUUAGUGGACUGGGUAUGAAGUGAUAUCUACAAGUAUUGUUAAGUACUAUAUGUUAUUAAUAUUUACCAGUGACUAUCCAAGCUCCACAGCCCUCUUAAAUUCUUGAAGACAACUCGUAGCUGGCACAAAUAGGUGCCUGUUCCUCCUGGCCUAUGACUGUUAGGCAGCAUAAUCAAAAUCUCCAGCUAGGCCCAUACACAGAACACCACAUACUGGGACCACCUUAAAACUACGGUUAGGAGUACAGAUAAUAUCCAAGAGCACCCGUCACAAAUUUCCUGGCGAGGCAUCCUUAACACCAGUUUGUCCUUAAAGUCAAAGGGGGAGAAUAAUGGAAACAUGUCGUAUCAUUGUAUGCAUUUCAUUCCUCUAAGAUAAAACCACAUGUUCUCCUCCUAUUUUAAGUGAAGAAUCACUCCCGUACUAAUAGAGACUGAUGAGUAGGAGUACACAUAUAGCGCUUUCUAUUGAAGCGUCCAUUUCCCAGUCAUGUUUGGUAAACAGAGUAAUGAAUUGAAAUCCAUCUUUUUUUCCUAAUUAACAAGCAAACAAUCCCAGCAACAAAGUGAACAGAAAUCACUAUAGUCCAAACCCUGCUUUUACAAAGAAAAAGGGACUUAAAAAAACACACACACAAUAAAAGUCACUAUCUUUAAUCCAAAAAAAAAAACUUAAUCAUCAACAACUGAAUCGUUUAUGGCUCUAUGGUCUAUAUUUAACAACUCUAACAUGGAAUCCAGUUAAGACCAAUCCUUUACCUGGGGUUUAGACCAAUUUGCCCAUAUUAAAAUAAUGCAACUGAUAAAAAGCAUGGGACUCAUACCAGGAUGCACGGAGAACAUGAACGGCAUGUUGAUAAUUGAUAACAUCAUAAAUAGCACAAUAAAGAUGCGCCUAAAGUAACAAAAAUAGCUCAGAGUACAAUGCUUGGGAUUGGUAUCAUAGGUUUUACAGAGCACCUACCUCUUUAGAAUGCCGAGUACUGCAAAACUUGUUCUUAUACUAUGGGAUGCUAAAACAAGCAAAUAAUUCCAGCAACAAGUAGAAAUCACAUGAGCCAAAUAUGGGAGACUUAAAAUAUGAGCUAAGCUAGAAGAAAAGAAUGUUUUUGGAAUACUGCAGUUCAGUGUAGAAAUAAAAUUCUGAAUUACUAUGAGGGCCUAAACAAAUAAACCAUUAUAGUUAGAAAAGUUAUGUGCAUCAUCAAAGAAAGAUAUCUCGCAAGAAAAACAAACAUGUCUUUUAGCAUAGAUGGUAGAGAAAAGAGUCAUUGAGAUGCCCACCCCAAUCCCAACCCCAAGAAGAAAAAAAAAAGAAGCAAAAAGUAAAAAACAGUACCAUAUUGAUAACAUCCACAAACAAAUUCCCAACUGAACAUAAAUCAAAGAAGAUCCAUUGCUUACACCAUUUCCAAACCAAACCACUAUUACUACCACAGAACCUGCCCAAGGUCCAUCUUGACUUCGAAUUCCUGUUGUCACUCCAAACUAUCGUCAAUACACCUCAAAUCAGCCUCCUAAGCUUAGCUUCAUGAGUACACACAGAAUUGCCGAAGAUUCAAUCAUCAACAAUUUAAUGACCUCGACACAGGCUCCCACAUAUCAACCCCUGGGAUCAAUCGUUUUGUUGACCUUGUCACUUGUUGUCACCCCAACAACAGUGUUGUACACUUA